This is a long non-coding RNA of Phyllostomus hastatus (greater spear-nosed bat), 339 nucleotides long. RefSeq lists it as uncharacterized. The transcript has 3 exons. The record is from RefSeq and is a predicted model, not a curated record. NCBI's taxonomy places the organism in Eukaryota, Metazoa, Chordata, Mammalia, Chiroptera, Phyllostomidae.
CAGGGGAGCCCCCCACACUGCAGGGUCUCUGAAAGAGAGCAGGGGCCCCAAAGCAACAGGGGAGAACCCUCUGGUGCACGGCGAGCACCCUCUUGCUGGAGGUACAUGCAGGGGCCUGCUGUUCUGACAGCGGAGAGGUCAGUCAGGGAGAAAGGAAGAGGAGGGAGCUAGGGAGCCCAGGCCAGUGGCCAGCAGCAGACUCUUCUCACCGCCCGAGGUGCCAGGCCACCGCACAGAACACUUUCUAUUUUGGUUCUUCGAGGGAAAACGUGUCCAGUGUUUUGUGAGCUGGCAUUAGUUUCUUGGCGAAACAUCAAAUCACCCAGGUGACUCAGCCCC